UAAAUGAAAGUAAUCUUAAAAAUAUACUCCAUGUUGUCAGCGAUGCUAUUGGAUAGUAUGUUUUUACCACAGUGUCAACAAGCAGAGGUGGAAUGUGACGGACUCCUCUCGACCCUUUGCUUUCAGCUCUUGUGCAGAAUAUCUCACCCUUUUGGAAUAUGUCCGACAACAUCAACGCCGAAUCGAUCCUUGAAGUUGAAUGCGUAAGAAACUCCACAUACGAUGACCGUCUGCAAAAGAAACAACAGGAGGUGUGAGUUACAAAAGAAGAGAUAUUUAUUAUGUCCUGCUGCACAGAUUGUGAACUCUUUCCCUGAGCUGGCAAGAAUCCUUUCCUUUAAAGCCUUCAAUGACCUCAUAAAUCAGAUCAGUGGUUGUUACGGUCACAGUCAAAUUAAACAUUAUCAUUAUUACUGA
Long non-coding RNA from Notolabrus celidotus (New Zealand spotty), 417 nucleotides. RefSeq lists it as uncharacterized. The transcript has 2 exons. The record is from RefSeq and is a predicted model, not a curated record. Lineage: Eukaryota; Metazoa; Chordata; Actinopteri; Labriformes; Labridae.